CGACGACCGGCGCACGGGUGAGUAACGCGUAUCCAGCCUGCCCAUAACUAAGGGAUAAUCCGUAGAAAUGCGGUCUAAUACCUUAUGUGUUCCGACGAGGACAUCUGAAUUGGAAUAAAGAUUUAUCGGUUAUGGAUGGGGAUGCGUCUGAUUAGAUUGUUGGCGGGGCAACGGCCCACCAAGUCUGCGAUCAGUAGGGGUUCUGAGAGGAAGGUCCCCCACAUUGGAACUGAGACACGGUCCAAACUCCUACGGGAGGCAGCAGUGAGGAAUAUUGGUCAAUGGGCGGGAGCCUGAACCAGCCAAGUAGCGUGCAGGAUGACGGCCCUAUGGGUUGUAAACUGCUUUUGUAUGGGGAUAAAUUGCUCCACGAGUGGAGUAUUGCAGGUACCAUACGAAUAAGGACCGGCUAAUUCCGUGCCAGCAGCCGCGGUAAUACGGAAGGUCCGGGCGUUAUCCGGAUUUAUUGGGUUUAAAGGGAGCGUAGGCCGUGGAUUAAGUGUGUUGUGAAAUGUAGGCGCUCAACGUCUGACUUGCAGCGCAUACUGGUCCACUUGAGUGCGCGCAACGCGGGCGGAAUUUGUCGUGUAGCGGUGAAAUGCUUAGAUAUGACGAAGAACCCCGAUUGCGAAGGCAGCUCGCGGGAGCGCAACUGACGCUGAAGCUCGAAAGUGCGGGUAUCGAACAGGAUUAGAUACCCUGGUAGUCCGCACGGUAAACGAUGGAUGCCCGCUUUUCGGUCAUUAGACCGUGAGGCCAAGUGAAAACAUUAAGCAUCCCACCUGGGGAGUACGCCGGCA
RNAcentral lists this ribosomal RNA (800 nucleotides) under uncultured rumen bacterium. Its description in RNAcentral is "bacterial SSU rRNA". It matches the Rfam family "Bacterial small subunit ribosomal RNA", at positions 89 to 890 of the family's 1533-position model. The record is from RNAcentral.